This 92-nucleotide transfer RNA is filed under the name Lentisphaerota bacterium. RNAcentral describes it as "Lentisphaerae bacterium (anaerobic digester metagenome) tRNA-Ser". It matches the Rfam family "tRNA". From Rfam's summary of the family: Transfer RNA (tRNA) molecules are approximately 80 nucleotides in length. Lineage: Bacteria; Pseudomonadati; Lentisphaerota. The record is from RNAcentral.
GGAAAGGUGGCUGAGUGGCUUAAGGCGAUGGAUUGCUAAUCCGUUGUACUGCAACCGCGGUACCGGGGGUUCGAAUCCCCCCCUUUCCGCCA